This is a long non-coding RNA of Paramormyrops kingsleyae, 970 nucleotides long. RefSeq lists it as uncharacterized. NCBI's taxonomy places the organism in Eukaryota, Metazoa, Chordata, Actinopteri, Osteoglossiformes, Mormyridae. The record is from RefSeq and is a predicted model, not a curated record.
UUUCAAGACGGUCGUUAAUUUGAAGUACAGUAUAUAUCAACUGUUAUCAGAUUUGAAGCCUGGUCUGCAAAUACGUUCCUUGAAAAACAACCUUCAAAAAGUGACUCCAGCGUGUGAUUCUCUGCCUGCAACCACUGCUAGUCCACAUAAGUCCUUUAACUCCAGCAAUCUCAAGAUUGUAAUUGACCGCCAAACACCACUUGCACCUUAACCCUCCAGCAAACCCACAGUGUUGGAAAAACAUUCACAAGAGGGAGAUGGCUUCUCACAGAUCAGUUUAUGUCACCGCCUUGCUGAUGCCUUUGUAGAGGACAUCCCAGACAUGCAUCCCAUGCCACUUACAGGGCCUUGUGAGAUGUCUAGUGAUUCCAGUGCAGAACAUGAUGGUUCUAGUCAGCAUACCCUCUCCAUGACCUUUAAAAAAACUGGAGCAACUUUUGUUGAAACAGCCCAAUGCCAAGUUGGAUGGGGACAGCAACGUCUCAAAGAGGCAGCGGAAUGCUUUGAUAGACCUGGUGCCACAAAGAGAAACUGAAAAGAUACUUUUCUUUAGCAACAUCCUGAACUCUUUCCACAAGCUGAGCCCCAAGAAUUGUCAUGUGAAAGCCCUUCUUUGACCAACAAUAACAUAAGGUCACCUGGUGUCUUAUCUGACAACACUCCUUCCUCAUAUGAAUCGGGAUCAGAAAAUGAACUGUCCUCAAAGGAAAGUAUCUCUGCGGAUGAUUAAUGAACUUUCAUACCUUGUGAUCCUUGUUACAAGUUUUCCUGUUUAAUGUCUUAUACAUUUUAUUCAAAAUGUCCAUUGGUUUGAUGUGAAAUUUCUAAAAUGUCUUGUGUUUAAAAUUGCCCAUGUGUAAAUAAAUCGUCAUGGUGAGUUUGUUACUUCUCAGCUUUAUUUAUAUGCAAAAUUGUUUACAAUUUUGUUUGUUGUGCUAAAUUAAUAAAAUAUAAUAAUUAUUGGCUAUAA